GGGAGGGUGUGACUAGUGACAGAGUGAGGGAGGGAAGGGGUGACUAGUGAGAGUGAGGGAGGUGGUGAUUAGUGACAGAGGGAGGAAUGGGGUGACUAUCACUGUGUCACCCCCUUCCUCACUCUGUCACUAGUCACCCUCUUCCUCCCUCACUCGGUCACUAUUCACCCCCUCUCUCACUCUGUCACCAGUCAUUCCCUCACUCUGUCACCAGUCAUCCCUUCCUUCCC
Molecule: small RNA, 230 nt
Filed under: Pelobates cultripes (western spadefoot toad)
Lineage: Eukaryota; Metazoa; Chordata; Amphibia; Anura; Pelobatidae
Source: RNAcentral